This 1272-nucleotide long non-coding RNA is filed under the name Mytilus galloprovincialis (Mediterranean mussel). Lineage: Eukaryota; Metazoa; Mollusca; Bivalvia; Mytilida; Mytilidae. The record is from RNAcentral.
AACUGUAAAUAUUUUUCAUAAGAUUACCUCAAAAAAUAUCUGAGACUACUUCCUUGUCCCUUACUUUCAUGUCCAUGUUUACAUGAACAUCUAGCUAGGUAUUUAGUUGUAUCUGUUGGUUAAGAUAUAGCACCACUAAUUCGGUCUCAGUCAGAAAGCAAAACACAGAAAGAAGAACAUACAUAACACAAAAAAAUUCCUUCCCAUGGAUGUAACUCUCAAAUUAUGUAGAAUAUUUUAGCUAUAUAACUGGUGAUAAUUGGAGAACGCGUUUUGCCAUAUAAUUUUGAAUAAUGAAAACAUUGCAAAAAUUUUAAAGGAGGGUACAUUUUGCCUGUUUGUCAGAUUUGAAGUACCUGUUCUGAUACAUUGAAGUUCUAGGAACCAGUUCUUUCUUAUAUGCCAUUAAAGGUAUGUUGAUUUUUUUCAGUACAUAACAAACUUAGGUGUUGCUGUGACAUGCAAUGUUGUCACUUUAUUUAAACAUAAGAAAAAGAGGUGUGCCUACUUGAAAUUAAGGAAUUUAAUAUAAAAAGCAAUGGGGCCAUGAAUUAGUUGUUUACUAAUUUUAUUUUAUUGAAAGAUUUUGUUCUUGAUUUGCUGUGUUUCUUUUUUUUCACCACCUCUUUCGCCAAAACAAUAUAUUUUUUGCUAUUUUUUUUUUCAUCAAAAAAUGUAAAGUGUUCCCAAACUGUUGAAUAAAUUUCUUCAUAACUACAGUUUUCUUUUCCGGACCAUCGUUAAUAAAAGAAGCAGAGGAGACAUCAAAAGAUUCAACAUCUGUGUCGAAAAGUGGUUAAUAAAUCCUUUAUGCCACAUGUGAGGGACAUCAUUUAACCUUAUCAUUCAAUCAACACCUUUAUCAAUUAGUCCUUUGUUUCUUACAGCUAUAAUAUGCAAUCAGCUGAUUAUUCAUUUUCUGUCAAAAUCUUAACGAGUCUAAGGUGAAUUCCGAGUAUUGUCUGAUCAGGUAAACUCAGAGAAACCCGAAACAAAAUAAAUAAACAAGAUGGAUGAAAUUUAACUGUUAUAUAUUUUUCUUUGGUUAAAUUCUUUCGCAAAUGAUGAAUUUUAAUCGACACAAUUAUUAUUUUUUUGCAAAAUGCAAAAACGGCGACCACCAGCGGCAACCCUGUUGAUUUACAUUUUGCUUUUUUGUGAGUUUGAUAAGUAUCCAUAUUAUUAGAUUAUUAAAUAGUUUUGUAAAUACCACCUAUAUAUGCUUUAUAGUAUUGUUUUUUCUAUCAUAUGUCAAAUAAAAUAUAACAAGAC